RNAcentral lists this ribosomal RNA (530 nucleotides) under Campylodiscus hibernicus. RNAcentral's name for it is "eukaryotic LSU rRNA". It matches the Rfam family "Eukaryotic large subunit ribosomal RNA", at positions 32 to 662 of the family's 3401-position model. Lineage: Eukaryota; Bacillariophyta; Bacillariophyceae; Surirellales; Surirellaceae. The record is from RNAcentral.
AUUUAAGCAUAUAAAUAAGCGGAGGAAAAGAAACUAACUAGGAUUGGUCUAGUAAUGGCGAGUGAAGCACCAAUAGCCCAGGUUGUGAAUUGGCACUUGUGUUGAAUUGUGGGAUGCUGGCCAGUCUGUCCAACUUGUGGACCAAGUCCCCUGGAAUGGGGCAGCACAGAGGGUGAGACUCCCGUACGUCUGCAGGUGUGAAAACUGGCUGAAGAGUCGAGUUGUUUGGGAUUGCAGCUCUAAGUGGGUGGUAAAUUCCAUCUAAGGCUAAAUACUGGUGAGAGACCGAUAGCAUACAAGUACCGUGAGGGAAAGAUGCAAAGUCGCGCGAGAGCGCUGUCAAAGAGUACCUGAAAUUGCUGAAAAGGAAGCAAAGGAAAUCAGUGCUAGCCAUCCUGCACUUCCCCAACUGCUUGCAGCUGGGGCGCUGCGGUUGGCAUUGUCUGCAUGCCUGGGUUGGAGCGAAAGUUAAUGACGCUACGAGCUGGGUGUGUGGACGAAAUGGUUUUCUUUUUCCCGUCUUGAAACAC